This 513-nucleotide ribosomal RNA is filed under the name uncultured bacterium. Its description in RNAcentral is "bacterial SSU rRNA". It matches the Rfam family "Bacterial small subunit ribosomal RNA", at positions 28 to 512 of the family's 1533-position model. The record is from RNAcentral.
GAUGAACGCUAGCGACAGGCCUAACACAUGCAAGUCGAGGGGCAUCGGGACGUAGCAAUACGUUGCCGGCGACCGGCGGAUGGGUGAGUAACGCGUAUGCAACCUACCCGUAGCAGGGGGAUAGCCCGUUGAAAGACGGAUUAAUACCCCGUAACACAGGGGCUCCGCAUGGAGAUUAUUGUUAAAGGGUCAUUUCUUUUUCAGGGAUGGUCCGGCUGCGGAUGGGCAUGCGUUCCAUUAGGUAGUUGGUUGAGGUAACGGCUCACCAAGCCUGCGAUGGAUAGGGGAACUGAGAGGUUGGUCCCCCACACUGGUACUGAGACACGGACCAGACUCCUACGGGAGGCAGCAGUGAGGAAUCUUGGUCAAUGGACGGAAGUCUGAACCAGCCAUGUCGCGUGAAGGAGGACGGCCCUAAGGGUUAUAAACUUCUUUUGCAGGGGAAUAAAGUAUUCCACGAGAUGGGAUAUUGCAAGUACGCUGCGAAUAAGGAUCGGCUAACUCCGUGCCAGC